Molecule: non-coding RNA, 1112 nt
Organism: Oryza sativa Japonica Group (Japanese rice)
Lineage: Eukaryota; Viridiplantae; Streptophyta; Magnoliopsida; Poales; Poaceae
Source: RefSeq, a predicted model, not a curated record
GAUACCAAUGUAGACAUACUAUUAAGGUGGUUUACUAUUAAUCGAGUCUAUUGCUGAGAUGUACAUGUUUUAUAGAUAGCACCUUACUUUACCAUUGCGGGUGCUCUUAGCAGCAUUGGCAACCUCGUGCUGUUCCUUUGUAGGGAUAGGUGCUUGUCAGUCUCAGCCAAACACCUCCCUUCAAUCAGCAGAAAUUCAGUUUACUACUAUUACUAUGUGCUGCUGCCAAAUCCUGUCGUUUUACACUCUCCAAGCAACAAAUCGUUCGAGCGACCAACAACAUUGUGCCAAGUCCAUGACACAACGAAGAGGAUUCGCCCAUCUGUGCGACCAUUCACCCUUGCUGAUCAUCUUCUCACAUAUUGCAAUCAUCGUGAAUGGGCGAGAGGUCUCAUGUUUCAUGAGUACAACUGUAUACUUGAGUGUUUCGAUGAUCUGCUGAAGAAAAUAGAACACAGGAUUCUGAACUGAGGAUUCCACGCAUCACAGGUGGAAGCUAAGGGAGAGGCUUGUUGUACUGAAGAAAUUACUGCUCAACAUUUCAGAUGAUGGUCACGGAUCCACCAGCAACAUGCGAAGAGUAGAGGUGCUUUGCAGGACCAGCAGUCCAACACCAUGGCCUGGAGGGGCACAUCAAACAAACCACAGGAACUCAAGAUUACUCCUACCAUCCUACAUGGCUGUACCUUGAUGAAAUUAUCAAAGGAAUCAGUGAACAUCUUGCCUUGGCAAAGGAAAACCGUGAAGAGCUACUUAUUACGAAGAUGAAGUUCCACUGUUUCACCUAUUUCGACGUUUUCCUUUGGUUCGUGAAAUUUGCUAAUUUUCCCUGUAAUUUGAACCAGCCUUGAGUUUUCAUUCACGUCACUAAUUUUACAGGCAAGUAGGCAACAGCUUAGAUAGCCUUGAGUUUUCACUAAUUUGUCAUGUCUCAACAGGCAACAGCCUCCUUGGCCGCUUACCGUGCAUCUGCUACUCAAUUUUAUCCAAAAGCGUGCCCUAGACUUGCUCCUUGAUCUAUAUCUAGCUAGUUAUGGCAAUAUAUCAGAGGAAUAUAUCCUAUACACCAACUAACAAAUAUCAUAUUAAAUUUUAGAAAAAUUAGGCACAUA